CGCUGGCGGCGUGCCUAAUACAUGCAAGUCGAGCGGACAGAAGGGAGCUUGCUCCCGGAUGUUAGCGGCGGACGGGUGAGUAACACGUGGGUAACCUGCCUGUAAGACUGGGAUAACUCCGGGAAACCGGAGCUAAUACCGGAUAGUUCCUUGAACCGCAUGGUUCAAGGAUGAAAGACGGUUUCGGCUGUCACUUACAGAUGGACCCGCGGCGCAUUAGCUAGUUGGUGGGGUAAUGGCUCACCAAGGCGACGAUGCGUAGCCGACCUGAGAGGGUGAUCGGCCACACUGGGACUGAGACACGGCCCAGACUCCUACGGGAGGCAGCAGUAGGGAAUCUUCCGCAAUGGACGAAAGUCUGACGGAGCAACGCCGCGUGAGUGAUGAAGGUUUUCGGAUCGUAAAGCUCUGUUGUUAGGGAAGAACAAGUGCGAGAGUAACUGCUCGCACCUUGACGGUACCUAACCAGAAAGCCACGGCUAACUACGUGCCAGCAGCCGCGGUAAUACGUAGGUGGCAAGCGUUGUCCGGAAUUAUUGGGCGUAAAGGGCUCGCAGGCGGUUUCUUAAGUCUGAUGUGAAAGCCCCCGGCUCAACCGGGGAGGGUCAUUGGAAACUGGGAAACUUGAGUGCAGAAGAGGAGAGUGGAAUUCCACGUGUAGCGGUGAAAUGCGUAGAGAUGUGGAGGAACACCAGUGGCGAAGGCGACUCUCUGGUCUGUAACUGACGCUGAGGAGCGAAAGCGUGGGGAGCGAACAGGAUUAGAUACCCUGGUAGUCCACGCCGUAAACGAUGAGUGCUAAGUGUUAGGGGGUUUCCGCCCCUUAGUGCUGCAGCUAACGCAUUAAGCACUCCGCCUGGGGAGUACGGUCGCAAGACUGAAACUCAAAGGAAUUGACGGGGGCCCGCACAAGCGGUGGAGCAUGUGGUUUAAUUCGAAGCAACGCGAAGAACCUUACCAGGUCUUGACAUCCUCUGACAACCCUAGAGAUAGGGCUUUCCCUUCGGGGACAGAGUGACAGGUGGUGCAUGGUUGUCGUCAGCUCGUGUCGUGAGAUGUUGGGUUAAGUCCCGCAACGAGCGCAACCCUUGAUCUUAGUUGCCAGCAUUUAGUUGGGCACUCUAAGGUGACUGCCGGUGACAAACCGGAGGAAGGUGGGGAUGACGUCAAAUCAUCAUGCCCCUUAUGACCUGGGCUACACACGUGCUACAAUGGACAGAACAAAGGGCUGCGAGACCGCAAGGUUUAGCCAAUCCCAUAAAUCUGUUCUCAGUUCGGAUCGCAGUCUGCAACUCGACUGCGUGAAGCUGGAAUCGCUAGUAAUCGCGGAUCAGCAUGCCGCGGUGAAUACG
This 1352-nucleotide ribosomal RNA is filed under the name Bacillus pumilus. Its description in RNAcentral is "bacterial SSU rRNA". It matches the Rfam family "Bacterial small subunit ribosomal RNA", at positions 34 to 1370 of the family's 1533-position model. Lineage: Bacteria; Bacillati; Bacillota; Bacilli; Caryophanales; Bacillaceae. The record is from RNAcentral.